Molecule: ribosomal RNA, 253 nt
Filed under: uncultured bacterium
Lineage: Bacteria
Description: partial 16S ribosomal RNA
Rfam family: Bacterial small subunit ribosomal RNA
Source: RNAcentral
GACGUAGGGCGCGAGCGUUGUCCGGAUUUAUUGGGCGUAAAGAGCUCGUAGGCGGCUUGUCGCGUCGACCGUGAAAACUUGGGGCUCAACCCCAAGCCUGCGGUCGAUACGGGCAGGCUCGAGUUCGGUAGGGGAGACUGGAAUUCCUGGUGUAGCGGUGAAAUGCGCAGAUAUCAGGAGGAACACCAGUGGCGAAGGCGGCGAUCUGGGUAGAUACUGACGCUGAGGUGCGAAAGCGUGGGGAGCAAACAGG